RNAcentral lists this ribosomal RNA (440 nucleotides) under uncultured bacterium. RNAcentral's name for it is "partial 16S ribosomal RNA". It matches the Rfam family "Bacterial small subunit ribosomal RNA", at positions 338 to 795 of the family's 1533-position model. The record is from RNAcentral.
CCUACGGGAGGCAGCAGUGGGGAAUAUUGCACAAUGGGGGAAACCCUGAUGCAGCGACGCCGCGUGAGUGAAGAAGUAUUUCGGUAUGUAAAGCUCUAUCAGCAGGGAAGAAAAUGACGGUACCUGAUUAAGAAGCCCCGGCUAACUACGUGCCAGCAGCCGCGGUAAUACGUAGGGGGCAAGCGUUAUCCGGAUUUACUGGGUGUAAAGGGAGCGUAGACGGCAGCACAAGUCUGGAGUGAAAUGCCGGGGCUUAACCCCGGAACUGCUUUGGAAACUGUGCAGCUAGAGUGCAGGAGAGGUAAGUGGAAUUCCUAGUGUAGCGGUGGAAUGCGUAGAUAUUAGGAGGAACACCAGUGGCGAAGGCGGCUUACUGGACUGUAACUGACGUUGAGGCUCGAAAGCGUGGGGAGCAAACAGGAUUAGAUACCCCUGUAGUC